ACCUUUUGUAUAAUGGGUCAGCGACUUAUAUUCUGUAGCAAGGUUAACCGAAUAGGGGAGCCGAAGGGAAACCGAGUCUUAACUGGGCGUUAAGUUGCAGGGUAUAGACCCGAAACCCGGUGAUCUAGCCAUGGGCAGGUUGAAGGUUGGGUAACACUAACUGGAGGACCGAACCGACUAAUGUUGAAAAAUUAGCGGAUGACUUGUGGCUGGGGGUGAAAGGCCAAUCAAACCGGGAGAUAGCUGGUUCUCCCCGAAAGCUAUUUAGGUAGCGCCUCGUGAAUUCAUCUCCGGGGGUAGAGCACUGUUUCGGCAAGGGGGUCAUCCCGACUUACCAACCCGAUGCAAACUGCGAAUACCGGAGAAUGUUAUCACGGGAGGCACACGGCGGGUGCUAACGUCCGUCGUGAAGAGGGAAACAACCCAGACCGCCAGCUAAGGUCCCAAAGUCAUGGUUAAGUGGGAAACGAUGUGGGAAGGCCCAGACAGCCAGGAUGUUGGCUUAGAAGCAGCCAUCAUUUAAAGAAAGCGUAAUAGCUCACUGGUCGAGUCGGCCUGCGCGGAAGAUGUAACGGGGCUAAACCAUGCACCGAAGCUGCGGCAGCGACGCUUAUGCGUUGUUGGGUAGGGGAGCGU
RNAcentral lists this ribosomal RNA (636 nucleotides) under Shigella flexneri. RNAcentral's name for it is "partial 23S ribosomal RNA". It matches the Rfam family "Bacterial large subunit ribosomal RNA", at positions 603 to 1239 of the family's 2925-position model. Lineage: Bacteria; Pseudomonadati; Pseudomonadota; Gammaproteobacteria; Enterobacterales; Enterobacteriaceae. The record is from RNAcentral.